This 279-nucleotide ribosomal RNA is filed under the name uncultured bacterium. RNAcentral's name for it is "partial 16S ribosomal RNA". It matches the Rfam family "Bacterial small subunit ribosomal RNA", at positions 506 to 784 of the family's 1533-position model. The record is from RNAcentral.
UGCCAGCCGCCGCGGUAAUACGGAGGGGGCUAACGUUGUUCGGAAUUACUGGGCGUAAAGCGCGCGUAGGCGGAUUAGACAGUUGAGGGUGAAAUCCCGGAGCUUAACUCCGGAACUGCCUUCAAUACUACUAAUCUUGAGUUCGGAAGAGGUGAGUGGAAUUCCUAGUGUAGAGGUGAAAUUCGUAGAUAUUAGGAAGAACAUCAGUGGCGAAGGCGACUCACUGGUCCGAUACUGACGCUGAGGUGCGAAAGCGUGGGGAGCAAACAGGAUUAGAUA